ACAAUUUUUUAAUACACAUUUUUCCAUAAAAAGUCAAAAAGUUAACCCAAACAUCCAUAUAUUUUUCCUCAAUUUUUUAGUCCAAAAAGAUAAAAAAUGCACUUAUUUAGGACAUCCCAAACACCCCUUAAUCUUAUAAUGUUGCUGAACUUCUCCACAUGAUAGGAACCUGAGAUGCACUUAGAAGUCGUUGGCACUGCAGAUUUUUUAUUGCACUGCAACUACCGUGAACUGACUUCCAUUCUCAAUAUAGAUUGAUUUGAAGAAAAAUAAAAUAACAAAUGGCAAUAAAUAAAUAAAAAAACAAGAACUUUUGUUUCUUGUUUGAUUUGAUGCAUACGAUUCAUUCACUGUUACUUUUCUUUUAAUUGGGAAUGUUAUUUUCUUUAAUUUUCUUCAUUUAAAAACAAUCAAGUCACAUGUUUUGCCUCUGUGCAUCUGAAACAGGGAAGUCUGCUUGUUUUCUGAGCCUGCUUGGACAGUUUUAUAUGAUGCAAGCAUAAUUAAUUUCACCUUUGUGUAGUUUUAGCAUGCAUAAGAUUGCAACUGCACUAUUAAAGCAACAACCAAGUGCACUUUUACGCUUGCCUGACUUUGAAGCAAUUAUAAAGAGUUUCCAGUUGGAAUCUGCCAACUUCUCAAUCAUCAUCUCGAGCUUUUCAACUGUCUUCUAACCUCUUAAUUACCCGAUUUCACAGUAGACUGUUAUCUUGUUAGGAAUUUCUAUUCCAUGGCAUCAAGAUUAAAAAUAUACUUGAAUGUGGAAUUACCUCGUUAUACUUUUUGACGCAUGUAGAGAAACUGGAGCCGGUAUUUUUUAUUUUUUAAUUGUUAAAAAUGUAAGCAUAUCUCUGUUUACUGAUAAAUAAGAGUUUGAAAAGGCGAAUGCACAUUAUGUAAAUCAUGUGCUAAUAAUGACUUCAAAACAA
Molecule: non-coding RNA, 929 nt
Organism: Camellia sinensis
Lineage: Eukaryota; Viridiplantae; Streptophyta; Magnoliopsida; Ericales; Theaceae
Source: RefSeq, a predicted model, not a curated record